AGAGUUUGAUCCUGGCUCAGAACGAACGCUGGCGGCGUGGAUUAGGCAUGCAAGUCGAACGCGAGGAGGAUCUUAACAUACCUUCGGGUGUGAGCGGAUCCUUAGUAGAGUGGCGAACGGGUGAGUAACACGUGGGCAACCUGCCCUCGAGUUGGGGAUAACACUCCCAACGGGGCGCUAAUACCGAAUGACAUCGCACGUCAUAAGUCGUGUGAUCAAAGGCAGCCUCUGCUUGCAAGCUGCCGCUUGAGGAUGGGCCCGCGUCCCAUUAGCUUGAUGGUGAGGUAACGGCUCACCAUGGCUGUGAUGGGUAGCUGGUCUGAGAGGAUGGUCAGCCACACUGGGAUUGAGAUACGGCCCAGACUCCUUCGGGAGGCAGCAGUCGAGAGGCUUUGUCAAUGGGGGAAACCCUGAACAAGCGACGCCGCGUGGGUGAUGAAGGUCUUCGGAUCGUAAAGCCCUGUCAUGAGGGAAGAAAGGCCAGGGGUUAAUAGCCCGCUGGUCUUGACGGUACCUCAGGAGGAAGCUCCGGCAAACUCCGUGCCAGCAGCCGCGGUAAUACGGAGGGAGCGAGCGUUGUUCGGAUUUACUGGGCGUAAAGGGCGUGUAGGCGGCCUUGUAAGUCGGGCGUGAAAUCCUCUGGCUCAACCAGGGACGCGCACUCAAUACUGCAAGGCUUGAGUACAGGAGAGGAAAGCGGAAUUCUUGGUGUAGCGGUGAAAUGCGUAGAUAUCAAGAAGAACACCAGUGGCGAAGGCGGCUUUCUGGCCUGUUACUGACGCUGAGGCGCGAAAGCUAGGGGAGCGAACAGGAUUAGAUACCCUGGUAGUCCUAGCCGUAAACGUUGGGCACUAGGUGUAGGGGGUAUCGACCCCCUCUGUGCCGAAGCUAACGCAUUAAGUGCCCCGCCUGGGGAGUACGGCCGCAAGGCUGAAACUCAAAGGAAUUGACGGGGGCCCGCACAAGCGGUGGAGCAUGUGGUUCAAUUCGAUGCGACGCGAAGAACCUUACCCGGGCUUGACAUGUACCGGACCGGUGUGGAAACACACCUUCCCUUCGGGGCUGGUACACAGGUGCUGCAUGGCUGUCGUCAGCUCGUGCCGUGAGGUGUUAGGUUAAGUCCUGCAACGAGCGCAACCCCUGCUCUUAGUUGCCAGUUUGUCUCCGGAUGAAGGCACUCUAAGGGGACUGCCGCAGACAAUGUGGAGGAAGGUGGGGAUGAUGUCAAGUCAUCAUGGUCUUUAUGUCCAGGGCUACACACGUCCUACAGUGCCUAUUACAACGGGAAGCGAUACCGUAAGGUGGAGCAAAUCCUUUAAAGAUAGGCAUGGUUCGGAUUGAGGGCUGCAAUUCGCCCUCAUGAAGACGGAAUCGCUAGUAAUCGCAGAUCAGCUUGCUGCGGUGAAUACGUUCUCGGGUCUUGUACACACCGCCCGUCAAGCCAUGGAAGUCCACAAUACCUGAAGUC
This 1468-nucleotide ribosomal RNA is filed under the name uncultured bacterium. RNAcentral describes it as "16S ribosomal RNA". It matches the Rfam family "Bacterial small subunit ribosomal RNA". The record is from RNAcentral.